This 635-nucleotide long non-coding RNA is filed under the name Salvia miltiorrhiza (redroot sage). Its description in RNAcentral is "long non-coding RNA (SMIL_LNC008627)". Lineage: Eukaryota; Viridiplantae; Streptophyta; Magnoliopsida; Lamiales; Lamiaceae. The record is from RNAcentral.
CCGAGAUCAAUAACAGAAUUUUGGAUCUGACUGGGCGUGUCCCGGGAUCAGUGAAUGUGGGGAGAAAGUGAGUAACAAUCGAACGUACAUGGCGCGCCACUUAAUGAGGAAAAGUUUUGUCAUGCUUAGAAGUGGAUUUCUGUUUUUAAACCUUCUGAGUUAUGAUUUUGAUAUUGGAUAAACUGUUUCGAUUAUUUCUUAAAAUAUUUCAAAAACUCGUGCCCACUGAGUACAUUAGUACUCAGCCCAAAUUAUUUUCAAAUAUUUUCAGGUUGAUCGGCUGGUGCAGACGGGGCUGAGCUGAGGCUGGGUACCACAAUGUCUUUUGCUUCCGCUAACGACUAGCUUGUCAUUUCGUCUGUUAAAUUCUCUAAACUUAGAAUUUCAAUUAUGUGGUACAAUAUUAUCUUAUUGGGCUUAAACUCUUAUCCUAUAUUUCUAUUAAUAAAGCUAUCUUUGAUUAUGAUCAGAGUCACGAAACUAAACUUAUGCGAUCCUGAGUUGGAAUAUUGUCAUUUGAUUGGCAACUCUUAAGGCCUUUCAAUUUACCUAAUUUCAUUUUAUCUCAUUGGAAUAUGAAUACCCAAUUUAACGGGUAGAUUGUCGAGUUUAUUCCGGUUGAUUAAGACUUUCCA